Molecule: ribosomal RNA, 468 nt
Filed under: uncultured bacterium
Lineage: Bacteria
Description: partial 16S ribosomal RNA
Rfam family: Bacterial small subunit ribosomal RNA
Source: RNAcentral
GACGAACGCUGGCGGCGUGCUUAACGCAUGCAAGUCGAACGGAAAGGCCCUGCUUUUGUGGGGUGCUCGAGUGGCGAACGGGUGAGUAACACGUGAGUAACCUGCCCUUGACUUUGGGAUAACUUCAGGAAACUGGGGCUAAUACCGGAUAGGAGCUCCUGCUGCAUGGUGGGGGUUGGAAAGUUUCGGCGGUUGGGGGUGGACUCGCGGCUUAUCAGCUUGUUGGUGGGGUAGUGGCUUACCAAGGCUUUGACGGGUAGCCGGCCUGAGAGGGUGACCGGCCACAUUGGGACUGAGAUACGGCCCAGACUCCUACGGGAGGCAGCAGUGGGGAAUAUUGCACAAUGGGCGGAAGCCUGAUGCAGCAACGCCGCGUGCGGGAUGACGGCCUUCGGGUUGUAAACCGCUUUCGCCUGUGACGAAGCGUGAGUGACGGUAAUGGGUAAAGAAGCACCGGCUAACUACGUG